This 422-nucleotide ribosomal RNA is filed under the name uncultured bacterium. Its description in RNAcentral is "bacterial SSU rRNA". It matches the Rfam family "Bacterial small subunit ribosomal RNA", at positions 362 to 776 of the family's 1533-position model. The record is from RNAcentral.
UCUUCCACAAUGGACGAAAGUCUGAUGGAGCAACGCCGCGUGAGUGAAGAAGGGUUUCGGCUCGUAAAACUCUGUUGUUAAAGAAGAACAUAUCUGAGAGUAACUGUUCAGGUAUUGACGGUAUUUAACCAGAAAGCCACGGCUAACUACGUGCCAGCAGCCGCGGUAAUACGUAGGUGGCAAGCGUUGUCCGGAUUUAUUGGGCGUAAAGCGAGCGCAGGCGGUUUUUUAAGUCUGAUGUGAAAGCCUUCGGCUCAACCGAAGAAGUGCAUCGGAAACUGGGAAACUUGAGUGCAGAAGAGGACAGUGGAACUCCAUGUGUAGCGGUGAAAUGCGUAGAUAUAUGGAAGAACACCAGUGGCGAAGGCGGCUGUCUGGUCUGUAACUGACGCUGAGGCUCGAAAGUAUGGGUAGCAAACAGG